RNAcentral lists this transfer-messenger RNA (388 nucleotides) under Polaromonas sp. It matches the Rfam family "transfer-messenger RNA". From Rfam's summary of the family: Bacterial tmRNA, also known as 10Sa RNA or SsrA, is named for its dual tRNA and mRNA-like properties. Its role is to liberate the mRNA from a stalled ribosome. The record is from RNAcentral. Lineage: Bacteria; Pseudomonadati; Pseudomonadota; Betaproteobacteria; Burkholderiales; Comamonadaceae.
GGGGCUGCAUUGGUUUCGACGUGGGUUCGGACGCGGUGUGGUGCAUGUCGAGCUGAGUGUGCUCGUAAAACUGAUUCAAACAAACUAACUGCAAACGACGAACGUUUCGCACUCGCUGCUUAAUUGCCAAGCGAGCUUUACAACAGCAGGCCGAUGGGCUGGGCAAGGGGUCUUUAGCGCAAGUUAAGGGCUCCCGGCUGUAAAGAUAAUUUCAUCGGCUGGCUCCGGGCUGGGUACCUUAACCCGGGGCAAGACAAUAGGGUGCUGGCGUCCUGUGUAGCGUGCGACUGCGCGAUACAGGUGGCGAGACUCAAAUCAGACCGCUAAACAUGUAGAUCUGCCCGAACAAGGCUUGCGGACGGGGGUUCAAAUCCCCCCAGCUCCACCA